RNAcentral lists this ribosomal RNA (429 nucleotides) under Chloroflexota bacterium. RNAcentral's name for it is "Chloroflexi bacterium partial 16S ribosomal RNA". It matches the Rfam family "Bacterial small subunit ribosomal RNA", at positions 355 to 776 of the family's 1533-position model. Lineage: Bacteria; Bacillati; Chloroflexota. The record is from RNAcentral.
UGGGGAAUAUUGCACAAUGGGCGCAAGCCUGAUGCAGCCAUGCCGCGUGUAUGAAGAAGGCCUUCGGGUUGUAAAGUACUUUCAGCGGGGAGGAAGGGAGUAAAGUUAAUACCUUUACUCAUUGACGUUACCCGCAGAAGAAGCACCGGCUAACUCCGUGCCAGCAGCCGCGGUAAUACGGAGGGUGCAAGCGUUAAUCGGAAUUACUGGGCGUAAAGCGCACGCAGGCGGUUGGUUAAGUCAGGUGUGAAAUCCCCGGGCUCAACCUGGGAACUGCAUCUGAUACUGGCAAGCUUGAGUCUCGUAGAGGGGGGUAGAAUUCCAGGUGUAGCGGUGAAAUGCGUAGAGAUCUGGAGGAAUACCGGUGGCGAAGGCGGCCCCCUGGACGAAGACUGACGCUCAGGUGCGAAAGCGUGGGGAGCAAACAGG